UACGAAGGGGGCUAGCGUUGUUCGGAAUUACUGGGCGUAAAGCGCACGUAGGCGGAUUUGUAAGUUAGGGGUGAAAUCCCGGGGCUCAACCUCGGAACUGCCUUUGAUACUGCAAGUCUCGAGUCCGAUAGAGGUGAGUGGAAUUCCUAGUGUAGAGGUGAAAUUCGUAGAUAUUAGGAAGAACACCAGUGGCGAAGGCGGCUCACUGGAUCGGUACUGACGCUGAGGUGCGAAAGCGUGGGGAGCAAACAGG
Molecule: ribosomal RNA, 253 nt
Filed under: uncultured bacterium
Lineage: Bacteria
Description: partial 16S ribosomal RNA
Rfam family: Bacterial small subunit ribosomal RNA
Source: RNAcentral